Molecule: ribosomal RNA, 999 nt
Filed under: Priestia endophytica
Lineage: Bacteria; Bacillati; Bacillota; Bacilli; Caryophanales; Bacillaceae
Description: bacterial SSU rRNA
Rfam family: Bacterial small subunit ribosomal RNA
Source: RNAcentral
CCAUUUUUAAGGAUGGCCCAUACUGCAGUCGAGCGGAGAUUUGAAAAGCUUGCUUUUCAAAUCUUAGCGGCGGACGGGUGAGUAACACGUGGGCAACCUGCCCUUGAGACGGGGAUAACUCCGGGAAACCGGAGCUAAUACCGGAUAACACAUAUCUUCGCAUGAGGAUAUGUUAGAAGGUGGCUUUUAGCUACCACUCAAGGAUGGGCCCGCGGCGCAUUAGCUAGUUGGUGAGGUAACGGCUCACCAAGGCGACGAUGCGUAGCCGACCUGAGAGGGUGAUCGGCCACACUGGGACUGAGACACGGCCCAGACUCCUACGGGAGGCAGCAGUAGGGAAUCUUCCGCAAUGGACGAAAGUCUGACGGAGCAACGCCGCGUGAGUGAUGAAGGUUUUCGGAUCGUAAAGCUCUGUUGUUAGGGAAGAACAAGUACCUGUUGAAUAAGCAGGUACCUUGACGGUACCUAACCAGAAAGCCACGGCUAACUACGUGCCAGCAGCCGCGGUAAUACGUGGUGGCAAGCGUUGUCCGGAAUUAUUGGGCGUAAAGCGCGCGCAGGCGGUUCCUUAAGUCUGAUGUGAAAGCCCACGGCUCAACCGUGGAGGGUCAUUGGAAACUGGGGAACUUGAGUGCAGAAGAGGAGAGCGGAAUUCCACGUGUAGCGGUGAAAUGCGUAGAGAUGUGGAGGAACACCAGUGGCGAAGGCGGCUCUCUGGUCUGUAACUGACGCUGAGGCGCGAAAGCGUGGGGAGCGAACAGGAUUAGAUACCCUGGUAGUCCACGCCGUAAACGAUGAGUGCUAAGUGUUAGAGGGUUUCCGCCCUUUAGUGCUGCAGCAAACGCAUUAAGCACUCCGCCUGGGGGAGUACGGUCGCAAGACUGAAACUCAAGGAAUUGACGGGACCCGCACAAGCGGUGGAGCAUGUGGUUUAAUUCGAAGCAACGCGAGAACCUUACCAGGUCUUGACAUCCUCUGCUACUUCUAGAGAUAGGAGGU